This is a long non-coding RNA of Hypomesus transpacificus, 740 nucleotides long. RefSeq lists it as uncharacterized. NCBI's taxonomy places the organism in Eukaryota, Metazoa, Chordata, Actinopteri, Osmeriformes, Osmeridae. The transcript has 2 exons. The record is from RefSeq and is a predicted model, not a curated record.
AAAGAUAGAGAGAGAUAGGAGAUAAGUGGAAGGAUGGCUUUCCGCGGCACAGGUAUAUAAAGACCUACCUGUCACUGGCCACGCACAUUCUGUCUCACUUCAAGGUGGGCCCCAUCGUGCAGUGCCCAGGUGUGACCAUAGGCUAACUUUUAGCGCAAUAAACACCUGGCCCUGGCCUGACUGGAUAGCUAUUGUGGUGUUUCGAUGGAGCCAUGGGUGGAGCGCUUCUUGGUAUGGCGUUGACAAUGAUUCCUCCAGACUGGAUCAUCAUAUUUGGAAUGAUAUAAAAUGUUUUCUCUGUAUUUGCCUCACGUUGAGCCACACGCACAAUACCUGAAGAUGAAGUUUUGUUCGUUCGGCUCGCGUUAAGCAGGUACAGGUUUUCUGCAGAGAAAGAAGAGUUCCGUUGUAUGAGAAGAAGUGCUUGGCAAUGUGACAGCUGUCGCUGAUAAAUGAUAAUUUGGCAGCUUUGAAUGAAAGUUGGGCUACAGCAAUAAGGCUGCGUACUACUACUGCCUAAGUUCGAUCAUUGAUUUAGGUCCCAACGGAUGCUCUUUUUAUGGACGCUUUUCGUGUAAGCUGAUGAGGACAUGAUAAACAAUGGCUUCUGAACAUGACAAUGUCCUCAAGAGUUGGAAAACGUUAAACGACACGUUUGACUUGACUGUUCACUAAAGGUAUUACGUAGCUUUAAGAACUGACCAAAUAUUGAUACUCAAGCAUUAAAAGUAUGCAUGAUA